AAGUCAUCAUGGCCCUUACUGUCCAGGGCGACACACGUGCUACAAUGGCCGGCACAGCGGGAAGCGAGGCAGUGAUGCCGAGCGGAUCCCUUAAAGCCGGUCUCAGUUCGGAUUGAAGUCUGCAACUCCGACUUCAUGAAGCUGGAAUCGCUAGUAAUCGCAGAUCAGCCAAGCUGCGGUGAAUACGGUUCCCGGGCCUU
RNAcentral lists this ribosomal RNA (200 nucleotides) under uncultured Thermanaerovibrio sp. RNAcentral describes it as "partial 16S ribosomal RNA". It matches the Rfam family "Bacterial small subunit ribosomal RNA", at positions 1187 to 1382 of the family's 1533-position model. The record is from RNAcentral. Lineage: Bacteria; Thermotogati; Synergistota; Synergistia; Synergistales; Synergistaceae.